GGAGAUUUUAAAGCAUUCAUCCAACCACACAGGGUCUGUUAUGAUUCCAACUUCCCCAAGCCCUUAAAGACAGACAGAAGUAAGCUGAGCUGUGCAUGGAACGUGACAUGGGAGCAGUGCAGAGGUUUAUGCACCGGUAAUAUUUGAACAUCAGUCCUUUGCGCUGAGGAAAUAUAAUAUUCAUGUUGAAAUUUUCAGUCUUCAGUUGUAGCCUGAGAAGGAGCUCCUACAAACAUCUUGGUGCCUAAAAAUAAGAAGCAUUACAAGUUUUCUGUGCUAUUUGGAAAUCUAAGACUGUCAAGAGCAGCAGUAAGACCUCUGUAGCCGGUGAGCUAAAGGUACCUACUGAAGUUCUGGAAUCUGAAUAUGGUGAAAAGGAGCAUGGAAACCUCUGCCUACAUAGUAUUCUAGACUGAACAUAACAACUGGAAAUGCUUUCAGACUGUAGACCUGGAAAAUGACAUGAAA
Molecule: long non-coding RNA, 468 nt
Filed under: Numida meleagris (helmeted guineafowl)
Lineage: Eukaryota; Metazoa; Chordata; Aves; Galliformes; Numididae
Description: lncRNA (ENSNMEG00000005750.1)
Source: RNAcentral